ACCUUGUUCCCCCAUCUUUAUUCCACUCAGCAGGUCAAUGCUCUCUGGUUCGUCUUCUAUCGUCUCCUCUUUGACCAGCAGCAGAUCAGGCUUCCCAUCCUCCAUGUCUACUGACUCAUUGAGACUGUGUGUGGUCCUGUGCUGCUCAGCUGGUUCCUCUGUG
Molecule: non-coding RNA, 163 nt
Organism: Oncorhynchus mykiss (rainbow trout)
Lineage: Eukaryota; Metazoa; Chordata; Actinopteri; Salmoniformes; Salmonidae
Source: RefSeq, a predicted model, not a curated record